ACAUGCUUGCAACAUAGAGUUAAUGCAUCAUAUCCCAUUAGAACUCCAUAGUUAAGUGCGCUCAUGCUAGAGUAAUAAUGGGAUGGGUAACCACCCAGGAAUUCCUAGUGUUUUACAUGCC
Molecule: non-coding RNA, 121 nt
Organism: Picea glauca (white spruce)
Lineage: Eukaryota; Viridiplantae; Streptophyta; Pinopsida; Pinales; Pinaceae
Source: Rfam